Molecule: unclassified non-coding RNA, 251 nt
Filed under: Hevea brasiliensis (rubber tree)
Lineage: Eukaryota; Viridiplantae; Streptophyta; Magnoliopsida; Malpighiales; Euphorbiaceae
Source: RNAcentral
UGAACCAUCAGUUGUCUUGUAAUUCUGAGGUUGGUGGAUGUGGGAAGCUUAACUACAUCCAUCAUAUUCUCUCAACUCCACCGCAUGUGUUUACAACAGUUUUAGGUUGGCAAAAUACUUGUGAGAGUGUAGGUGACAUAACAGCAACAUUAUCAGCUCUUUCUACUGAGGUGGACAUAGGUGUACUUUAUCAUGGUCUAGCUCCUAAAAACAAACAUCGCUUGAUUUCAAUGGUUUGCUUAUGGGCAGCA